RNAcentral lists this long non-coding RNA (1137 nucleotides) under Rattus norvegicus (Norway rat). Its description in RNAcentral is "long non-coding RNA NONRATT013083". Lineage: Eukaryota; Metazoa; Chordata; Mammalia; Rodentia; Muridae. The record is from RNAcentral.
CAAGGGAUCCUGGACUGUAUAAAGGGAGAAAGUGAUGUGAGUCUUGGUGUUCAUCAUUCCUUGUUUCUUGAUGUUAAGGAGAAGUGGUCACCUGUUUCAAGCUCCUGACACCUUGACUUCCUGGCUUUAUGGUCUGUGCCCUUCAAUUGUGAACCAUAAGUCCUUUCUCCCGAGAAGUUCACUUUCCCCACGCUCGACUUCUGCCUGAUGGACCAACACUAGAUCUCCACAUCAGUUGGGCAUCAUUAAAAAGAAAAGGCUCCAUGUUUCCUGGGAAAUCCGGUCAUUGCAGAGCAUUUAAGUACAGCAAGAAUUUAUAUCACUCCCGACCCAGGAUUAGUAAUAAACAUGAAUACAUAUGUGUUGAGAGACAGGCAUGUGAGCCAAGGAUGGCCAAUUGGGACCUUACACAGGAUAGAUUUCUGUAAGAGCAGAUGCCAAAAAGCUACAAAGUGUUAAUGACCUUGAAGCUGAAACCGUCUUGAAUCCACUUUCAUCACCAAGAAGGGAGACAAGAACAGGACCUAUGAAAACAUCUAGUAAUGCAAAUGCAAAAGAUGUGUAAUACAAGUUUUCCUGGAAGUUACUUCUAAUCUGUGAUUCUGGACAUUGCUUGUGCACCUCAUUUCAUUAUCCAAUAUAGACUGCGGAACUUACUGUAUAGUUUAGUAGCCCAUAAGUUAACUUUGUAUAAAAUUAUAAAAGAAAUUUAUCUCAAUCAUUCAUAAAGAUGAUAUUCCUGUCCUUCUGAAAAGAUGUGUACAUUUGACAAUUGCAAUCACCUACCUUCAUUGGCACUGGGUAAUGCAUAAUGUAAAGAUCGGCAUAAUCCAGUUGAAGAUUUUUCAGUGAUUUUUCCAAAGCAGGCUUGACCAGCUCUGGUCGAAAGCAAGUACACCAAAGCUACAGAUGUGGAAGAAUGGAAGUUGUACUAGAUUAAUAAAUCACCUGAAUAUGCAUAGUCAUUUAUCCUGAUGCUGAAAUAUUUUCUGUAUUUGAAUGAAAUUUAUAAGCAUUCCUGUAAACUCAGUGUUGACUCUUCCAUAGCAAUGAGAACUCAGCUACAAUUUUAGGGUUAAUGUUUGUUCAUUUAUUAAACAAUGUAAAAAUUACUUAAGAAAUAAAAUCCAUACUAAU